RNAcentral lists this ribosomal RNA (417 nucleotides) under Coniochaeta tetraspora. Its description in RNAcentral is "SSU rRNA". It matches the Rfam family "Eukaryotic small subunit ribosomal RNA", at positions 594 to 1016 of the family's 1831-position model. Lineage: Eukaryota; Fungi; Ascomycota; Sordariomycetes; Coniochaetales; Coniochaetaceae. The record is from RNAcentral.
AUAGCGUAUAUUAAAGUUGUUGCAGUUAAAAAGCUCGUAGUUGAACCUUGGGCCUGGCUGGCCGGUCCGCCUCACCGCGUGCACUGGUCCGGCCGGGCCUUUCCCACUGGGGAACCGCAUGCCCUUCACUGGGUGUGUCGGGGAACCAGCACUUUUACUUUGAACAAAUUAGAUCGCUUAAAGAAGGCCUAUGCUCGAAUACAUUAGCAUGGAAUAAUAGAAUAGGACGUGUGGUUCUAUUUUGUUGGUUUCUAGGACCGCCGUAAUGAUUAAUAGGGACAGUCGGGGGGAUCAGUAUUCAAUUGUCAGAGGUGAAAUUCUUGGAUUUAUUGAAGACUACUUACUGCGAAAGCAUUUGCCAAGGAUGUUUUCAAUAAUCAGGAACGAAAGUUAGGGGAUCGAAGACGAUCAGAUACC